This 113-nucleotide transfer RNA is filed under the name Nanobdellota archaeon. RNAcentral describes it as "tRNA-Gly". It matches the Rfam family "tRNA". From Rfam's summary of the family: Transfer RNA (tRNA) molecules are approximately 80 nucleotides in length. Their secondary structure includes four short double-helical elements and three loops (D, anti-codon, and T loops). Further hydrogen bonds mediate the characteristic L-shaped molecular structure. tRNAs have two regions of fundamental functional importance: the anti-codon, which is responsible for specific mRNA codon recognition, and the 3' end, to which the tRNAs corresponding amino acid is attached (by aminoacyl-tRNA synthetases). tRNAs cope with the degeneracy of the genetic code in two manners: having more than one tRNA (with a specific anti-codon) for a particular amino acid; and 'wobble' base-pairing, i.e. permitting non-standard base-pairing at the 3rd anti-codon position. The record is from RNAcentral. Lineage: Archaea; Nanobdellati; Nanobdellota.
GCGUCCGUAGUCUAGUGGUAGGACAUGAGCUUCCCAAGCUUAAGAUCCGGGUUCAAUCGCGCUGAAAUCCUAUGUAUUUCGCAGGGUUUCUGCUGAAACUCCCGGCGGGCGCA